RNAcentral lists this ribosomal RNA (497 nucleotides) under uncultured bacterium. Its description in RNAcentral is "partial 16S ribosomal RNA". It matches the Rfam family "Bacterial small subunit ribosomal RNA", at positions 28 to 507 of the family's 1533-position model. The record is from RNAcentral.
GAUGAACGCUGGCGGCGUGCCUAAUACAUGCAAGUCGAGCGAACAGACGAGGAGCUUGCUCCUCUGACGUUAGCGGCGGACGGGUGAGUAACACGUGGAUAACCUACUUAUAAGACUGGGAUAACUUCGGGAAACCGGAGCUAAUACCGGAUAAUAUAUUGAACCGCAUGGUUCAAUAGUGAAAGACGGUUUUGCUGUCACUUAUAGAUGGAUCCGCGCCGCAUUAGCUAGUUGGUAAGGUAACGGCUUACCAAGGCGACGAUGCGUAGCCGACCUGAGAGGGUGAUCAGCCACACUGGAACUGAGACACGGUCCAGACUCCUACGGGAGGCAGCAGUAGGGAAUCUUCCGCAAUGGGCGAAAGCCUGACGGAGCAACGCCGCGUGAGUGAUGAAGGUCUUCGGAUCGUAAAACUCUGUUAUUAGGGAAGAACAAAUGUGUAAGUAACUAUGCACGUCUUGACGGUACCUAAUCAGAAAGCCACGGCUAACUACGUG